This is a long non-coding RNA of Bactrocera dorsalis (oriental fruit fly), 2384 nucleotides long. RefSeq lists it as uncharacterized. NCBI's taxonomy places the organism in Eukaryota, Metazoa, Arthropoda, Insecta, Diptera, Tephritidae. The record is from RefSeq and is a predicted model, not a curated record. The transcript has 2 exons.
GGUAAUCUACUGACCCCUUAAUGAAAAUAUUGUGAUGGGACUGUCCCGGAAGAGAUCCUUAGAUUUUUCUAUAUUUCGAUAGUUUAUGAGUUUAAAAAGAUCUCCCAAAAAGUUUUUCCAAAAUUCAAAUUAUUUUCAAAAUUCCAUUACAAAAAAAAUUUUUUUUUUCUACAGUUUAUCAGAAUCCAAAGUUAAAGCUUGAUCAUUUUUAAUCCGCUAAUUGGCUUAUUAUUGCCGAUGAUAAAGUUGCUAGAUCGUACUCAAACAAUGGUUUUAAAGUUAAUGUUUCUAAAUUUUUUGGAUAUAAAUAACUUCGAACAACGUUGUCAAGAGCAACCAUGAAUAUAUUUAGGAUUUAGAAAGUAGUUAUGAAUAUAAAAGAUAAUGAAGUAUUCGUCAUUGUUCUUUAUUGGAUGACCACAGAGUGUAAUGAGGGCGACGAGGACGUAGCCUUUUUUCCCCAAAUUCAAAAGGAAUACAUUUUUUUGGAUUCAUUAAUGGCUAUUCCACUUUAUUUUUUUUUUUUUUUACAAAUGUUUUUAAUAAUUCAAAUAGCAAUACAAAAACUUAAACGACUAUGUUGUAUAUUUUUCUUACAGUGUUGACAACAUCUCUUUUAUCAACUCGAUCGAUAGCUUCGGUAAAAUUUCUGGAAUUUAUAUUUCACAGUUCAUGAUUAUUAAGGAAGCUUAACGCCGCAGUUGAGGUUAUGGGGGUGACCAAGUACCCCCAUAUAAUACCUAGUAGAUGCCCGAUUGUUUACGUCACAAAGCCACAGAACUAAAAAAUUUCUCUUCAACAAAUGAGAAUUUCGUCAGUCUGUUACGUCAAUAUACACCACUACUAUUUUGAUACUGCGAAAACUUAUAACCUGUGAGAACUUUUUCGGGUUGUCCUCUCAGAAAAAAUAUCUUUAAUUUUUGCUUUUCUCUUGUCGGUGGUUGUAACACUUCUUUCUUGUUUGAAAGAACCACAAAUAUUAUAUUAUUUUGCUGCUAAGCUUUUAUACGAUUAUUAUCUCUCCUUCCUUAUGUUUAACAGAAAUAAUUUUUAAAAAGGCACCUUUUUUGUCAGUCGUCUCGAGUACCAAGCUACUGCGAUGGUAACAUAUCGAUUGAAUGAGCUACCUGAAAUUUGUCUAAUUACUGUUUUGUUUGCUCUGGAUAUUUUGUUUGCUUUAUUAUAGCAUUGGGCUUGUCCGAGUUUCAAUCACAAUAUCUGUGUUGCGCGAUUUUUAAAGUAUAGUAUCACGUUCGAUGUGAAAUUUGUAGCAACUUUGACAAAAGUAUCGCGUUUUAGCUGUCAAAAAUUUUACUUUUGUUGUGUUUGCACAACUGAUAUGGAAAAUGAAAGACAAAUCUGUCCAAAAGUUCAUGUCAUGUCAUCCUUGUAUUACCCAGUGUCCAUAAUGUUAUAUACAUACAAGCUUUGCUCCAAUGAGUAUUUACCGAUCCUUUUUGAAAAAAACGUUCAGUCUUUAAUUUAUAUAAAUAAUCUUAUUAAUCAAGAUACGAAAUUUACAUUAAACGUUUCACGGGUAAUUUGAAAAUGGGUAAAAUGAAUAUCAUCUGGAUACAAUUUAAUGCUUUUGAGAAAAUAAAAUGUUUUCGUCACAUUCUCCUUUCACACAAUUCCUUCCACAUCCAAUUUCUUUUCUUUAUGCGCCUCAAUCUUUGAUUUGUCGUUUUCAAUAGUAAAUUACCCGCUAUUUCAAAAUUAUCCAACAAAAUUAUUAUGAAAAACUCUAUUACAUAUGUAUUUUGAUUUACGCAUUCAACUUCGGCAAUCUACGAGUAUGCAAAACAAAUGCCGAUUAUCAGAAAAGUAUCAACUGUAUAGUUGCAACAAUGUUGCAAACUUUCAUCAGUGCAGCAGUAUUCCCGUUUUUAUUACGUGCUUCGAACAAGCCCAUUCAUGUAUUCCAUUCAUUGUAUGUUAUUAAAGUGUCCAUACAUGACACACAAGUGCGUUCGAUCGGUAUGUGUUCGCAUGGGGUUUACUCGUGUAUGGGCUUGUGCGCGCACCGAUCCAUGUUCGCGAAAAUGUUUGUUUUUUUACGAUCGGUGUGCGCACAUGUGUGUCGUGUAUGGCGUUGUGCGCGCACAAAAUCUCAUUUCUCUCGAGUCGCCGAACAUUGAAGAUCGCGGACCAUGGCAAGUGUUAAGGAGAGAGCCUGCUUUAGAGGCUUCAAAGAUACGAAAUCUUUGAUAUUCUGCCUUUGGGAAGUAAUUGCCCGAUGCAUCUCGCAUGUGCAUUUUUUGGACGCGGGCAGGAUGCAGGUGGCAAUUUCUAUCGAAAACAAAAAAUUCAAAGAGAUUCAUAUUUUUUAAUAAUUUAUCUUCUAGUCAAACUAAGAAAAUUUCAAAAAAAAGUGUAAAAUUUUA